AGAAGGGGCCCGGGGACUGGCCCGUGUCAUCGAUGGAGUCAUGGGUACUGGUAGUUUUACUGCAGCGCACCCACCCUGCCUGUCCCCCGUGUGUGCCUUCUCUUAGGGACGCCAUUGCAAGAAGAAGCACGCCUCCAAGAGACAAGAGGACAGAACAAGAUACAAUAAGGCAAAGUCUCCCAUAUGGAGGGUGGACAGGGCAACCCAAGAGGAGGAAAAGAGUCCCAAGAGCAGUCUUCUCUUCAGGAGCUUUGAUAGAGACUGGGGGUGCAUUCGCGGUCCCAGCCGGAGGCUGCUCUUUUGGGAUGUUUGGAGGAUGGGUCAACUUUCCAGUUGUAAAAGCAUUUGUUGACUUAUUUAGUAUGAGUUCACGUUCUUUUUUCUGCAAAAUAUAAGAAGGUAGAGACAUGUCACCUUUCAGCUCCUGGAUAAGGUCUCACAGUCUGUUUUCAAAGGAGACAAUGAGCAUGAGCUUGGUGCUGGGAGAGGACAGGCCUCUUGCAAGCCUAGAAUCCCACAGCAGAUAGGUGUGGGUGAGCACGAGUCCUUAUUGGUGUUAGUGUUUAGUAUUUCUCAGGAACCUACUGUAAACUGAAUUAAGAUCACUGUAACAAUCAUUUCUUGAUUUAAGUGAGCCCUUGGGAAUGAAUACUCUAUGCAGUUUGCUUUAAGAAACAUUCUAGAGAAUGACCUUUAGAGAAUAAUUAAAGGGAGAGUGGUCUGAAAUACUGACUACAGUAAGAAGUCCUUGGUGCAAGGUGUAUGUCAAAAAGGGCUCACAAGAAUCAGCUAUGCAGCUGCUUUCAACAGCUUUUAUUGUUGAGUAUCAUUUCUUUUCAGAGUGUAUAAUUAUGUCUUUUUGAUGGGCAUAUGUGUGGUCUCCAGUUCGGACUAUUCUGGAUCCAGCAAAUGUCUUGUGCAUGCUGUCUUGUGUUUUGGUUUGCUUCUUUGUUUUAAUUAUAUAUGGAAUUCCAGAACAGGUUAUAACUUAAUGUGUAAACAUCAGAACUGUGGUUACAUUUAGGGAGGUGAGGACAGGAACUGUUUAGAAAGAGAUAUAUAGAGUUUCCUAAUUACUAAUGAUGUGAUAAUUUUGGGGACACAGGAGUGUGUGCUUGCAGGAACUAAACAAAGAUAUGCCUGUUUGUGUACUUUAUGUUGGAUACAUUUUCCUCCAAGGGAAUUAAAUAAAUAAUAACUCACACU
RNAcentral lists this long non-coding RNA (1206 nucleotides) under Mus pahari (shrew mouse). RNAcentral describes it as "lncRNA (MGP_PahariEiJ_G0002165.1)". The record is from RNAcentral. Lineage: Eukaryota; Metazoa; Chordata; Mammalia; Rodentia; Muridae.